AUCUGUCUUGACAGAGGGGCAUAGCUUGCCGAAAGGUGAGGUAAUUCCCCAUAAUAUUAGCAAUAAUCAAAGUAGCAAUACGCUUCGAGAGGAACCUUUUUCCUAUCAGCUUGUUGGUGAGGUAAUGGCCCACCAAGGCGACGACGGGUAGCUGGAUUGAGAGAUUGACCAGCCACACUGGGACUGAGACACGGCCCAGACUCCUACGGGAGGCAGCAGUGAGGAAUUUUCCACAAUGGGCGAAAGCCUGAUGGAGCAAUACCGCGUGAGGGAUGACGGCCUUAGGGUUGUAAACCUCUUUUAAAUAGGAAGAUUAUGGCGGUACUAUUUGAAUAAGCAUCGGCUAACUACGUGCCAGCAGCCGCGGUAAUACGUAGGAUGCAAGCGUUAUCCGGAAUUACUGGGCGUAAAGCGUGUGUAGGUGGCGCGUUAAGU
This 435-nucleotide ribosomal RNA is filed under the name uncultured bacterium. Its description in RNAcentral is "bacterial SSU rRNA". It matches the Rfam family "Bacterial small subunit ribosomal RNA", at positions 124 to 588 of the family's 1533-position model. The record is from RNAcentral.